GGGGUUAUAGCUUAAUAGGCAUAGCAAUUGGUUGUCAUCCGAAAGAUACAGGUUCAAUUCCUGUUAAUCCCG
This 72-nucleotide transfer RNA is filed under the name Halisarca harmelini. RNAcentral's name for it is "tRNA-Asp". It matches the Rfam family "tRNA". Rfam says of the family: Transfer RNA (tRNA) molecules are approximately 80 nucleotides in length. Their secondary structure includes four short double-helical elements and three loops (D, anti-codon, and T loops). Further hydrogen bonds mediate the characteristic L-shaped molecular structure. tRNAs have two regions of fundamental functional importance: the anti-codon, which is responsible for specific mRNA codon recognition, and the 3' end, to which the tRNAs corresponding amino acid is attached (by aminoacyl-tRNA synthetases). tRNAs cope with the degeneracy of the genetic code in two manners: having more than one tRNA (with a specific anti-codon) for a particular amino acid; and 'wobble' base-pairing, i.e. permitting non-standard base-pairing at the 3rd anti-codon position. The record is from RNAcentral. Lineage: Eukaryota; Metazoa; Porifera; Demospongiae; Chondrillida; Halisarcidae.